GCCUGGGUGGCUCACUCGGUUGAGCAUCUGACUUCAGCUCAGGUCAUGAUCUCACUGUUGUGGGUUCCAGCCCCGUGUCAGGCU
RNAcentral lists this transfer RNA (84 nucleotides) under Felis catus (domestic cat). It matches the Rfam family "tRNA". Rfam says of the family: Transfer RNA (tRNA) molecules are approximately 80 nucleotides in length. Their secondary structure includes four short double-helical elements and three loops (D, anti-codon, and T loops). Lineage: Eukaryota; Metazoa; Chordata; Mammalia; Carnivora; Felidae. The record is from Rfam by way of RNAcentral.